GUGCCAGCAGCCGCGGUAAUACGGGGGUGGCAAGCGUUGUUCGGAAUUACUGGGCGUAAAGGGCGCGUAGGCGGCAUUACAAGUCAGAUGUGAAAUCCCUGGGCUUAACUCAGGAAUUGCAUCUGAAACUGUUUUGCUUGAGUCCUGGAGGGGGUAGUGGAAUUCCCAGUGUAGCGGUGAAAUGCGUAGAUAUUGGGAGGAACACCUGCGGCGAAGGCGGCUACCUGGACAGUGACUGACGCUGAGGCGCGAAAGCUAGGGGAGCGAACGGGAUUAGAUACCCCGGUAGUCCUAGCUGUAAACGAUGGGCACUUGGUGUUGGGGGUAUUGAGUCCCCCGGUGCCGGAGUUAACACGUUAAGUGCCCCGCCUGGGGAGUACGGUCGCAAGACUGAA
Molecule: ribosomal RNA, 395 nt
Filed under: uncultured bacterium
Lineage: Bacteria
Description: bacterial SSU rRNA
Rfam family: Bacterial small subunit ribosomal RNA
Source: RNAcentral